Molecule: ribosomal RNA, 465 nt
Filed under: uncultured bacterium
Lineage: Bacteria
Description: bacterial SSU rRNA
Rfam family: Bacterial small subunit ribosomal RNA
Source: RNAcentral
CCUACGGGCCGCAGCAGUGGGGAAUAUUGCACAAUGGGCGCAAGCCUGAUGCAGCCAUGCCGCGUGUAUGAAGAAGGCCCUAGGGUUGUAAAGUACUUUCAGUCGGGAGGAAGGCGUUGAUGCUAAUAUCAUCAGCGAUUGACGUUACCGACAGAAGAAGCACCGGCUAACUCCGUGCCAGCAGCCGCGGUAAUACGGAGGGUGCAAGCGUUAAUCGGAAUUACUGGGCGUAAAGCGCACGCAGGCGGUUGAUUAAGUUAGAUGUGAAAUCCCCGGGCUUAUCCUGGGAAUGGCAUCUAAGACUGGUCAGCUAGAGUCUUGUAGAGGGGGGUAGAAUUCCAUGUGUAGCGGUGAAAUGCGUAGAGAUGUGAGGAAUACCGGUGGCGAAGGCGGCCCCCUGGACCAAGACUGACGCUCAGGUGCGAAAGCGUGGGGAGCAAACAGGAUUAGAUACCCCUGGUAGUC